CCUACGGGAGGCAGCAGUGAGGAAUAUUGGUCAAUGGACGAGAGUCUGAACCAGCCAAGUAGCGUGAAGGAUGACUGCCCUAUGGGUUGUAAACUUCUUUUAUAAAGGAAUAAAACGAGGCACGUGUGCCUUUUUGCAUGUACUUUAUGAAUAAGGAUCGGCUAACUCCGUGCCAGCAGCCGCGGUAAUACGGAGGAUCCGAGCGUUAUCCGGAUUUCUUGGGUUUAAAGGGAGCGUAGAUGGGUUGUUAAGUCAGUUGUGAAAGUUUGCGGCUCAACCGUAAAAGUGCAAUUGAUACUGGCAGUCUUGAGUACAGUUGAGGUAGGCGGAAUUCGUGGUGUAGCGGUGAAAUGCUUAGAUAUCACGAAGAACCCCGAUUGCGAAGGCAGCUUACUAAACUGUGACUGACAUUGAUGCUCGAAAGUGUGGGUAUCAAACAGGAUUAGAUACCCCUGUAGUC
RNAcentral lists this ribosomal RNA (460 nucleotides) under uncultured bacterium. RNAcentral's name for it is "partial 16S ribosomal RNA". It matches the Rfam family "Bacterial small subunit ribosomal RNA", at positions 338 to 795 of the family's 1533-position model. The record is from RNAcentral.